AUGUAUUUCAAUAACGUUGAGCGUAAUGGAUUACGAUCCCACUGCUGCCUGAUUGAUUCGUUUCCCCGCUUUAUGAACGACACAGAUCCGGCCACCGCCGCUCGUCCUGACUGGGAAAACCAUUUUAAUGACAGUCUGCGGCUUCGCUUCGCCGUUCAGCGCGCGAGCCUUCUGUCGGUCGCGUGCGGCCCUACGGCGGCUGCGUCGACGCCGAUCCCCGCGGGACCCUCACGGACGUGGAGGGCCGUUUUUGUCUCGAGCGCGUCGAUAUCAAGUGGCACGCGCCUCGUCGUCACGGCCCGCAGCUGUGGCGAGAAGAGAUGCGGACGACCGCGGGGGCUCGCGUUUUACAUUCCGCCCGCUCGCCGCGGGAAAUUAGACAUUCAUCAAACGCGUAGGAAGCGUAAUUAUAACUUAAAGACACAAGGUUACAGUGGGUUCCUAGAAAAUAAUCCGCCAGCCGUCACUGCCCACGCUGACACCAGCAGACUGUGCUGUGGCUCAUUGCCAGUCGUGUUCCUGCGGUGGGUCCGUGGGGGUCCCGGCGCCAUAUUGAGAUCCGUUCGGGACCGGAAAAAGCCGAGCCACUUGCCGUAUUUGUAUUCAGGGGCCAGAGUCAGAGUCUGCAGGGUCCGCCUUCGUGUGGCCGCUGCGUCGGCAGCGUUGGAGGACGACCAGACGCGGGGAAUCACAAGUGGAAGCGAGGCCACCGCCAAGUUCUAUGUUGCUGCUCAUUGGCUGGACUCACCUGUCCUACACUACACCAGUAGGCCUGUCAACAGGAAGGCGUCCCUCCUUCAGAUCAGCCAUGUAGAACAGGACGACCCGGGGGCUGAUGAGGACGCCGCCACUGAUGGAGGGACUCGUGCUCGGCUGAGCUGGACUUUUAAAGGCAUUAACGCUCUUCGGGAGCCAAAGGAAGAUUUGUUAGCAAAGUUGUGAGUCCACACUGUCGUGGAAAUGUUUGUUUGGACACGUGCAGUCCUUUGCCUGAAACUGCAGCUUUGCUGCGCAGAUAAAUCACUAGACACCUUUUAUAGUUUGUGCUAUGGACUAUGGAGAAUAGCUUUUUCUGGAGCUUUGAGUAUAUAACUGCUGCUCUAUUUAUCAUUGGACUGUAAUUUAAGUAAUUAGGGCAGUGAUAAAUCUAUUUCUUUAAAAUGUUCAGGGACAGUCUUGAACAGAGGUUCGAGCUGCACUGCAGCGUCCUCGGCUUGUUUCCCUUUGAGUUGUGGGGGCAUCCUUGGCUACGAAACCUGAAAAUGCAGAUUUGGCGCCUCGCUUCGUGUCGGGCAAAGCGCUAGCUGUUGUUUAGCGCUUCCGCGUCAGCUCGAGCUCCGCAUCAAACGUGCCCUAACCCAUAUUUUGGAGGCAGUUGGUAGCUGCGCCGGCGCCGGCGUCCUCUGAGGCGCGCCCCAGAUGAGACACAGCACAUACCUGGCGGGGCCUCCGUGGGACGCGGGCUCUCUGACGGGGAGGGGAAGAUUGACGCGUGAGCAUUAUUUUUCACAGGAAAGUGUCAAGCAGGCUCUUAUGUGAUAUGGAGGCAUGUGAAGGGCUGUCCUCCACCUCCUCCCCCCCUCCUCGCCUCUCAUGUCUCUCUUUUUUUUUAACACCUCUGCUAUUCAACCAGGCCUCUGAGCAUUUAAAUGAUCAGAAUUCUGCAACAUGGCUGUCUGCCCUCGCGCUGUCAAAUUUGGACCGAUAUGUUUCAGCAAGUGAGAGAGGUAGACAUGGACCAUACACAUACAUUACACAGAUCUGUACGCGCGCACACACACACACACACACACACACACACACACACACAGAUUUGCCCACAAGUCCGGCGUCACUUCUCCAGACAGGCAAACGCCUCUCGGCAUACCCGCCAGUUGAGCCAGGCAGAAAAGUGUAAAAAUGUGCUCCUCAGUGGAGAUGCAGUCAGUCAUACAGCUGUCGAGAAGCAGCAGUUAUCUGUUCAGAUGGAGACUAGAGGGCAAAAGGCCAGAGUCGUUUUAUUCCACUUUCACUCAUUCGUCAACUAUAAAAUCUAAACCCAACAACCUUUUGUCAUUGUGUGUUUUAGAGGAAAUAACUGUACUUAAGGAGCCUCGGUGGCGUUAUUAAUAAAAAAAAAAACAAAAACUCA
This 2131-nucleotide long non-coding RNA is filed under the name Betta splendens (Siamese fighting fish). RNAcentral describes it as "lncRNA (ENSBSLG00000000803.1)". Lineage: Eukaryota; Metazoa; Chordata; Actinopteri; Anabantiformes; Osphronemidae. The record is from RNAcentral.